RNAcentral lists this ribosomal RNA (451 nucleotides) under uncultured cyanobacterium. RNAcentral describes it as "bacterial SSU rRNA". It matches the Rfam family "Bacterial small subunit ribosomal RNA", at positions 28 to 524 of the family's 1533-position model. The record is from RNAcentral. Lineage: Bacteria; Bacillati; Cyanobacteriota.
GAUGAACGCUGGCGGUAUGCUUAACACAUGCAAGUCGAACGGUCACUUCGGUGAUAGUGGCGGACGGGUGAGUAACGCGUGAGGAUCUGUCUUCAGGUCGGGGACAACAGUUAGAAAUGACUGCUAAUACCGGAUGUGCCGAAAGGUGAAAGAUUUAUUGCCUGAAAGAGAGCUCGCGUCAGAUUAGCUAGUAGGUGGUGUAAGAGACUACCUAGGCGACGAUCUGUAGCUGGUCUGAGAGGGCGAUCAGCCACACUGGAACUGAGACACGGUCCAGACUCCUACGGGAGGCAGCAGUGGGGAAUUUUCCGCAAUGGGCGAAAGCCUGACGGAGCAAUACCGCGUGAGGGACGAAGGCUUUUGGGUCGUAAACCUCUUUUAUUAGGGAAGAUUUCAGGACGGUACCUAAUGAAUAAGCAUCGGCUAACUCUGUGCCAGCAGCCGCGGUAAU